RNAcentral lists this ribosomal RNA (120 nucleotides) under Candidatus Dorea stercoravium. RNAcentral's name for it is "partial 23S ribosomal RNA". It matches the Rfam family "Bacterial large subunit ribosomal RNA", at positions 2804 to 2925 of the family's 2925-position model. Lineage: Bacteria; Bacillati; Bacillota; Clostridia; Lachnospirales; Lachnospiraceae. The record is from RNAcentral.
AUGAGAUAUCCCUACGUAAAGUAGUAAGACCCCUUGAAGACGACGAGGUAGAUAGGGCAGAGGUGGAAGUGUGGUAACACAUGGAGCUGACUGUUACUAAUCGGUCGAGGGCAUAACCAU